This 912-nucleotide ribosomal RNA is filed under the name Triticum aestivum (bread wheat). RNAcentral describes it as "partial small subunit ribosomal RNA". Lineage: Eukaryota; Viridiplantae; Streptophyta; Magnoliopsida; Poales; Poaceae. The record is from RNAcentral.
AUGGGACCGUUUCCUUCCUCUAAUGGGUAUACACAUAUUUUAGUUGUCGUUGAUUAUGUUACUAAGUGGGUAGAAGCUAUUCCAACUAGUAGUGCUGAUCAUAACACCUCUAUUAAGAUGCUUAAAGAAGUUAUUUUUCCGAGGUUUGGAGUCCCUAGAUACUUAAUGACUGAUGGUGGUUCACAUUUUAUUCACGGUGCUUUUCGUAAAAUGCUUGCUAAGUAUGAUGUUAAUCAUAGAAUUGCAUCUCCAUACCACCCACAGUCUAAUGGUCAAGUAGAACUGAGUAAUAGAGAGAUUAAAUUAAUUUUGCAAAAGACAAAGAAUUGGUCCAAGAAACUUGGUGAUGCAUUAUGGGCCUAUAGAACUGCAUAUAAAAAUCCUAUGGGUAUGUCUCCGUAUAAAAUGGUUUAUGGAAAAGCAUGUCACUUACCUCUCGAACUAGAACAUAAGGCAUAUUGGGCCAUUAAAGAGCUCAAUUAUGAUUUCAAACUUGCCGGUGAGAACAGACUAUUUGACAUUAGCUCACUUGAUGAGUGGAGAACCCAGGCCUAUGAGAAUGUCAAAAUGUUUAAAGAACAAGUUAAAAGAUGGCAUGACAAAAGGAUACAAAAGCAUGAGUCUAAUGUAGGUGAUUAUGUCUUGUUAUACAACUCUCGUUUAAGAUUUUUUGCAGGGAAACUCCUCUCUAAAUUGGAAGGUCCUUACGUUAUCGAUGAGCUCUAUCGUUCCGGUGCCAUAAAAAUUAACAACUUCGAAGGCACAAAUCCGAAGGUGGUGAACGGUCAAAGAAUCAAACAUUAUAUCUCAGGUAAUCCCAUAAAUGUUGAAACCAAUGUUAUUGACACCGUAACCCCGGAGGAGUACAUAAGGGACACUUUACAGAAUGUUUCAGACUCCAAAAAGGAAUAG